AUACGGAGGAUCCGAGCGUUAUCCGGAUUUAUUGGGUUUAAAGGGUGCGCAGGCGGCCAUUUAAGUCAGCGGUUAAAUCGUGGGGCUCAACCCCAUUCUGCCGUUGAUACUGGGUGGCUUGAUUGCGGUCGAGGUUGGCGGAAUUCGUUGUGUAGCGGCGAAAUGCAUAGAUAUGACGAAGAACACCGAUUGCGUAGGCAGCUGACCAGACCGCAAAUGACGCUCAUGCACGAAAGUGCGGGGAUCGAACAGGAUUAGAUACCCUGGUAGUCCGCACAGUAAACGAUGAAUACUUGUUUUCGGCGAUAUAAUGUCGGAGGCAAAGCGAAAGCGAUAAGUAUUCCACCUGGGGAGUACGCCGGCAACGGUGAAACUCAAAUGAAUUGGCGGGG
This 392-nucleotide ribosomal RNA is filed under the name uncultured bacterium. Its description in RNAcentral is "partial 16S ribosomal RNA". It matches the Rfam family "Bacterial small subunit ribosomal RNA", at positions 523 to 918 of the family's 1533-position model. The record is from RNAcentral.